AAAUAAGAAGCAAAAAAAUUGCAAUUAGUUUCGACCUAAUCUUUGAUAUAAUAUAUCCUUAUUUA
RNAcentral lists this transfer RNA (65 nucleotides) under Syneta adamsi. RNAcentral describes it as "tRNA-Arg". The record is from RNAcentral. Lineage: Eukaryota; Metazoa; Arthropoda; Insecta; Coleoptera; Chrysomelidae.